UACGGAGGGUGCGAGCGUUAUCCGGCAUCACUGGGUUUAAAGGGUGCGUCGGCGGCUUGGUAAGUCAGUUGUGAAAGCCCCUUGCUUAACGAGGGAGGUGCGAUUGAUACUGUCGAGCUUGAGUCGGGAUGGGGCAGGCGGAAUGUGGCAUGUAGCGGUGAAAUGCAUAGAUAUCCCAUAGAACACCGAUUGCGAAGGCAGCCUGCUGGGCCGGUAUUGACGCUGAGGCACGAAAGCGUGGGGAGCAAACAGG
Molecule: ribosomal RNA, 253 nt
Filed under: uncultured bacterium
Lineage: Bacteria
Description: partial 16S ribosomal RNA
Rfam family: Bacterial small subunit ribosomal RNA
Source: RNAcentral